This is a non-coding RNA of Alexandromys fortis (reed vole), 455 nucleotides long. The record is from the annotation of a RefSeq genome assembly. Lineage: Eukaryota; Metazoa; Chordata; Mammalia; Rodentia; Cricetidae.
UGGGACCUGAUUCCACCAUGAAGUGUGGGCUUCUCUUCUGUAUUUUCCUAUGUCUCCUGGAGACAGCCUUCAUGAACACUAAAAUUACCCAAACACCAAGAUAUCUGGUCAUGGGAAGAGCAAAUAAUAACUCUUUGGAUUGUGAACAACAUCUGGGAGAUAAUGCUAUGUACUGGUAUCAACAGAAAGCUGGGAAUCCCCCGGAGCUCAUGUUUCUUUACAAUCUUAAAAACCUGAUUCGAAAUGAGACUGUGCCCAUUCGUUUCUUACCUGAAUGCCCAGACACCUCCAAGUUAUUCCUUCAACUGUCUGGCCUGGAGCCAGAAGACUCAGCUGUGUAUUGGUGUGCGAGCAGCAAGGACACAGCCCUGCAGAUUCAUCAGCUCUCUGUACACAAACCUACAAGUUCAGGAAACUGUGGGACAACUGAGGGCUUCACUGAACAUUUCCUGUAG